RNAcentral lists this ribosomal RNA (471 nucleotides) under uncultured bacterium. RNAcentral describes it as "bacterial SSU rRNA". It matches the Rfam family "Bacterial small subunit ribosomal RNA", at positions 8 to 472 of the family's 1533-position model. The record is from RNAcentral.
AGGGUUUGAUCAUGGCUCAGAUUGAACGCUGGCGGCAUGCCUUACACAUGCAAGUCGAACGGCAGCACGGGAGCUUGCUCCUGGUGGCGAGUGGCGAACGGGUGAGUAAUAUAUCGGAACGUACCCUAGAGUGGGGGAUAACGCAGCGAAAGUUGCGCUAAUACCGCAUACGAUCUACGGAUGAAAGUGGGGGAUCGCAAGACCUCAUGCUCAUGGAGCGGCCGAUAUCUGAUUAGCUAGUUGGUAGGGUAAAAGCCUACCAAGGCUUCGAUCAGUAGCUGGUCUGAGAGGACGACCAGCCACACUGGAACUGAGACACGGUCCAGACUCCUACGGGAGGCAGCAGUGGGGAAUUUUGGACAAUGGGCGCAAGCCUGAUCCAGCAAUGCCGCGUGAGUGAAGAAGGCCUUCGGGUUGUAAAGCUCUUUUGUCAGGGAAGAAACGGUGGACUCUAAUACAGAUCACUAAUGA